RNAcentral lists this ribosomal RNA (492 nucleotides) under uncultured bacterium. RNAcentral's name for it is "partial 16S ribosomal RNA". It matches the Rfam family "Bacterial small subunit ribosomal RNA", at positions 29 to 507 of the family's 1533-position model. The record is from RNAcentral.
AGUGAACGCUGGCGGUAGGCCUAACACAUGCAAGUCGAACGGCAGCACAGUAAGAGCUUGCUCUUACGGGUGGCGAGUGGCGGACGGGUGAGGAAUACAUCGGAAUCUACUUUUUCGGGGGGGAUAACGUAGGGAAACUUACGCUAAUACCGCAUACGACCUACGGGUGAAAGCAGGGGAUCUUCGGACCUUGCGCGAUUGAAGGAGCCGAUGUCGGAUUAGCUAGUUGGCGGGGUAAAGGCCCACCAAGGCGACGAUCCGUAGCUGGUCUGAGAGGAUGAUCAGCCACACUGGAACUGAGACACGGUCCAGACUCCUACGGGAGGCAGCAGUGGGGAAUAUUGGACAAUGGGCGCAAGCCUGAUCCAGCCAUACCGCGUGGGUGAAGAAGGCCUUCGGGUUGUAAAGCCCUUUUGUUGGGAAAGAAAAGCAGCAGGUUAAUACCCCGCUGUUCUGACGGUACCCAAAGAAUAAGCACCGGCUAACUUCGUG